This 447-nucleotide long non-coding RNA is filed under the name Linum usitatissimum (flax). RNAcentral describes it as "long non-coding RNA (LUSI_LNC001610)". Lineage: Eukaryota; Viridiplantae; Streptophyta; Magnoliopsida; Malpighiales; Linaceae. The record is from RNAcentral.
AUUUGGUAACAAUUGUGGCAUAUCAUUUUUAUAUUUUUUGCGACAAAACACAAGCUAUUUCUCAAGGAGUAACAAAGGAAAGAGUAUAUGUACAAACAAAGCUAGGCAAAACCCCGGAGCUGCUUGGUUGGUUCGUCAAUGGCAGGUUGUAGCAAACAGUUUUAUAAAAGGGAAACAAAAUAAUUAAAAAUAAUACUUGGAACUAUCAUCUCUGUAUCUCAUCUCCAAACAUGAUUUCGUUCAUCUUGCAAAAGCUAGUCAUCCAAAUAAAGAGGCGCCCAAAUUUUUGUCGGACCAAAAUCCACAAAAUGUGUCAGACAGCAAGUUACAGACUCAGCCAGCCAGCCAGCCCCCUUCAAAAGCAGAACACCAACUCAACUCACAGGCAAUCCGCUCCACCUUGACGAAGGAAAUUCCAGUAGUCAUUUAGCUUGUGAUCACAAGGUU